This 286-nucleotide unclassified non-coding RNA is filed under the name Hevea brasiliensis (rubber tree). The record is from RNAcentral. Lineage: Eukaryota; Viridiplantae; Streptophyta; Magnoliopsida; Malpighiales; Euphorbiaceae.
AUUUAAUUGCCUUUCUUUCCUCCUUUUCCUUUUGAAACUUGGAUAUUUUGUAGGAAAUUUCUAUUAAUUUAAUGAUCCUGUGAGAAGCACUAGGCUUUGAAUUACAUCUCGGCUUUCAGCCAAAUGUUAGGGAAAAUGGAUGCUAUAUUCAAGUUUAAAAUUCUUGAAUGUGUCUUUUAUAGUGGUUGAGAGAUGGUACAACACUCAACCUACAAGAAAUUAUUAGUUACUUUAUACAUGAUUCAGUUGAUGGGUAUGAACAUGUACCUGAAAGAUCUUAUAUGGU